GUAUGAUGGAGGGUAUACAGUAAGUAUGAUGGAGGGUACAUAAGGUAUGAUGGAGGGUAUACAGUAGGUAAGAUGGAGGGUAUACAGUAGGUAUGAUGGAGGGUAUACAGUAGGUAUGAUGGAGGGUAUACAGUAGGUAUGAUGGAGGGUACACAUCAGGGAUGAUGGAGGGUAUACAGUAGGUAUAAUGGAGGGUAUACAUCAGGUAUGAUGGAGGGUAUACAGUAGGUAUGAUGGAGUGUAUACUGUAGGUAUGAUGGAGGGUACAUAAGGUAUGAUGGAGGGUAUACAGUAGGUAUGAUGGAGGGUAUACAGUAGGUAUGAUGGAGGG
Molecule: long non-coding RNA, 331 nt
Organism: Oncorhynchus tshawytscha (Chinook salmon)
Lineage: Eukaryota; Metazoa; Chordata; Actinopteri; Salmoniformes; Salmonidae
Source: Ensembl